UUAAGUCUGCAAGUUGUGCAUAUUCUGUCAACUUAAGUUGCCGUUCUUCUUUGGUUGGGACCUGGCUCGUUUUCCAUUUUUGGUAUUAGUUUUAGACCUUGUGUCUCAAAUGAAGGCUGGCAGCACCACCAGCUCCGCCCUGUGAGAAUCCUUUGCAGACGAGCGCAGUGCCUGGAGGCAGCCAGAUCCUGCAUCCACAGCACUGAUCAGAGGAGGAAUGGCCGCUGGGGGGAGCGCAGAGAGAAGAAACGCCCCCUGGCAUCGGCAUCAGUGCAACAACCAGGCGUCUUCCUCUGCCCCAGAUGCAGCAAACCACGUCUCCCGUAUCGGUCUCCAACGGAGUGACAUCCCCCCCAAAGGUGUGCUCCUCCAGUGUCUCCCGAGACAGAUGGAUGUCAGCAGUAAUGACUUGGCUGUGAUGGCUAACAAACAGCCAGCAAAGCACCACAAGGAGCAAUGAAAAAGCACUUACAGAGAGCAGGGAGAGAAGGGGAGCAGCCCAGGAGCAGGAGCAGCAAGAGAAAGCAGCCUCAGCACCCUUGGAAAAGCCCCCGAAGGAGCAGGGAGCAGCUUGUCAACUGGGCAGGCCAGAAGGAGGCAGCUGCCAAAGGCGAAUCUGGCACGGUUGGGGACAGAGCAGUAAGGAAGUCGCCAGCUCCUCAGACCCAGCUCAGGCCAACAUCCUGGGGGCAGAAUUCUGCGCUGCCUGAAGCUUCCAGAGUCUCCUCCCAAGGGAGCCUGCAGCGAUGCAACCGAGAUACGACUGGCGCCUUCGCCACCACAUGCCCACCCAAGAUGCUCUGGCUGAGAAGGUGCACAGUGGCGUUUUCAGCACUGCACCUGUGGAACUGCCUGCCCCAAGAAAUCUGCUGAGCCUUCCCCUCAGGGACGGUGAGUCAUCCAUUAGACCAUUUUACUCAAACAGUCCUUUGGCCUGGCAGUUUGGAUUUCAUUACACGCCCCCCUGCUAACUUU
Podarcis muralis (Common wall lizard) is the source of this 975-nucleotide long non-coding RNA. RefSeq lists it as uncharacterized. The record is from RefSeq and is a predicted model, not a curated record. Lineage: Eukaryota; Metazoa; Chordata; Lepidosauria; Squamata; Lacertidae.